This is a long non-coding RNA of Cyprinus carpio (common carp), 876 nucleotides long. RefSeq lists it as uncharacterized. The transcript has 2 exons. NCBI's taxonomy places the organism in Eukaryota, Metazoa, Chordata, Actinopteri, Cypriniformes, Cyprinidae. The record is from RefSeq and is a predicted model, not a curated record.
CAGUAAUAUUUAAAUUAUAAAAUCAUUUUACUUCUUUAUGCUUCUUGGUCCAUGAAAAGCGGGAACCCUGUGAUGCUGAUCAUCAGUAAUAAUUAGUGAGAAUGGCUCAGAGUCUGAACUGCACAGGAAAGUGUUAUUAAAUACUUCAACUCUCAGCUCAUUUUUCAAGUUCCUGGAAUAUGUUUGAUUAAGAGAUAUGGAUUCAGCGCAGUGUUUCUGGAUGAAAGACUGUCAGGAACAGUGAAGGCUGUAGUUGAGGUUGGGAAAAUGCCAGGAGGAACACUGACUCAAUGUUACUCUUAAUAAUCCACGCUUUGUACCUGCAAUGACCGUCUAUACUCUUGACAAUAAAGCUUCUGAAAAGGGGGUUUUCACAGCGAUCAAAGAAACAUUUUGGAUUCUCUGAACCUUUCUUUGUGUAAAGAACUUUUUAAUAAUCUGAAGAACCCUUUUCCACCAUAAAGAACCUUUUGUAAUAAAUGUUCCAUGGAUGGUAAAGGUUCUUUAUCGAUAUGCACUGAUAAAGAACCGUUAUUUUUAUGUUAUGACUUCUGAAAUUUCUUUCUAUUUCUCUUUUUCUUUCUUUUUUUUUCUAAACUUUUUUUCAAAUUCUGUUGAACCUACUUCUCAUUCUUGUGUAACAAGCUUUUUUUUUCCCCUCAUGUUUUUACUUUUUUAGCUUUUGUCUUUUUAAAUAUUUAACUGUUUAAUCUGAGGUCUAUUUAGCUUUUUAAGGGAUCCGUCAGUUCGGUAAAGUUGGCAAGAUAUUCACAGAUUCGACUUUUCCGGAUCAAUAACUCGCGAGCAAAACGUUUUUAGUACACGAAUUAUGCCUCUUUUCACUCGUAGUGAUGUAGUAAACGAGCUACAAGCGAG